RNAcentral lists this ribosomal RNA (490 nucleotides) under uncultured bacterium. RNAcentral describes it as "partial 16S ribosomal RNA". It matches the Rfam family "Bacterial small subunit ribosomal RNA", at positions 29 to 506 of the family's 1533-position model. The record is from RNAcentral.
AGUGAACGCUGGCGGUAGGCCUAACACAUGCAAGUCGAACGGCAGCACAGUAAGAGCUUGCUCUUCGGGUGGCGAGUGGCGGACGGGUGAGGAAUACAUCGGAAUCUACUUUUUCGUGGGGGAUAACGUAGGGAAACUUACGCUAAUACCGCAUACGACCUACGGGUGAAAGCAGGGGAUCUUCGGACCUUGCGCGAUUGAAUGAGCCGAUGUCGGAUUAGCUAGUUGGCGGGGUAAAGGCCCACCAAGGCGACGAUCCGUAGCUGGUCUGAGAGGAUGAUCACCCCCCCUGGACCGGGGACCCGGUCCAGCCCCCACCGGGAGGCCGCAGGGGGGAAUUUUGGACAAUGGGCGAAAGCCUGAUCCAGCCAUCCCGCGGGGGUGAAGAAGGCCUUCGGUUUGUAAAGCCCUUUUUUUGGGAAAAAAAAGCAGCAGGUUAAAACCCCGCUGUUCUGCCGGUCCCAAAAGAAGAAGCCCCGGCUAACUUCGU